AUUGAACGCUGGCGGCAGGCCUAACACAUGCAAGUCGAGCGGAGCGGCGGACGGGUGAGUAAUGCCUAGGAAUCUGCCUGGUAGUGGGGGAUAACGUCCGGAAACGGGCGCUAAUACCGCAUACUAUCAAAUGCGUCUAGGUCGGCUUAGCUAGUUGGUGGGGUAAAGGCCUACCAAGGCGACGAUCCGUACCUGGUCUGAGAGGAUGAUCAGUCACACUGGUACUGAGACACGGUCCAGACUCCUACGGGAGGCAGCAGUGGGGAAUAUUGGGCAAUGGGCGAAAGGCUGAUCCAGCCAUGCCGCGUGUGUGAAGAAGGUCUUCGGAUUGUAAAGCACUUUAAGUUGGGAGGCGGUACCUACCGAAUAAGCACCGGCUAACUACGUGCCAGCCGCCGCGGUAAUUC
RNAcentral lists this ribosomal RNA (407 nucleotides) under uncultured bacterium. RNAcentral describes it as "partial 16S ribosomal RNA". It matches the Rfam family "Bacterial small subunit ribosomal RNA", at positions 30 to 526 of the family's 1533-position model. The record is from RNAcentral.